AAUAGUCAUAUGUUUGAGAAAUUGAAGUAAUAGCAUUUCUAAGGUAUUUGAAUAACGCGCCACAGGAUUCCACUGGCUGUUACGUAGGUGGGACGAUUUCGUCCCACCGACCCCAGAGAGUUAAAUGGGCAAAUGGGGGCUCCCACCAUUAGUGUUUCCCUUCUUUAUAUCAGGAGCCAACGUGCUUCACAUGUCGGUCACUAAUUCUGCACCUCCGGGGAAUUCAGGUUAUCACCGUGUCCCAGAACUUAUCACCACGCUCCAGAACUUAAUUAAUUAGCUCUGGUAAUUAAUUAUUUGAGAGAAAGUAAUCAUUGGCAACCAAUUCUCACCUGGAGCACUUCUGUGACAUGUUCAAUUAAUUGAUCGGGGGGAAUCAAUUAGGUGUUGAGAUUAAUAUGACAGAACCUUGCACACUCCACUGCCCUCCAGGACCUACCCAGAGAGACUGCUGCUGAAGUUACCACUAGACACUGUCUGAAUACACAUAGAAAUACAAUUUCUGUACAUGUAUUUAACCAUCCAUAAUUCACUCUCCUGUGUUCCCAUUCAUACGCCUCAUGUUUCUAGGCUGAAAAACACAAAGCUGGCCUUGGAUCAGUGUCUAGGGGCAACUCCGUCAGCAAAGGUUAUGAUUGAAUGAGGGUAAACCAAUUCUACCCAGGAGCUUCAGUGAACCCUAUUCCCCAUAGUACUCUGUGACCGCGGUCGGAAGUAGUGCACUAGUUGUAGGAGUUUGAGACUGAGCUCUAGACCAGAGCCAUUAGGCCACCUGUUUAGGGUGGGCCAGGUAGUGUGCUAGGCUAUAUUUUGGGAAUAGGCCGUUACUGGAGCCACAGCUCCUGCCCAGAGAGCCAUCACCUGGCUGGUUAGGCUGCGGCAGCCCAGCUCCUGGCCAGAGAGCCAUCACCUGGCUGUUUAGGCUGCGGCAGCCCAGCUCCUGGCCAGAGAGCCAUCACCUGGCUGUUUAGGCUGCGGCAGCCCAGCUCCUGGCCAGAGAGCCAUCACCUGGCUGGUUAGGCUGCGGCAGCCCAGCUCCUGGCCAGAGAGCCAUCACCUGGCUGGUUAGGCUGCGGCAGCCCAGCUCCUGGCCAGAGAGCCAUCACCUGGCUGUUUAGGCUGCGGCAGCCCAGCUCCUGGCCAGAGAGCCAUCACCUGGCUGGUUAGGCUGCGGCAGCUCCUGGCCAGAGAACCAUCACCUGGCUGGUUAGGCUGUGGCAGCCCAGGGCCCUGCUGGGUUCAUAUUAAGAACUCUGACAGGAGAAUAUGGAGAAGAGUUCACCCACUGUACCUUCCCCUAAUCCAUUAUUCACUCUCAUGUGUUUCCAUUUAUACGCCUCCUGUUUCUAGCAACUGUGUUGACUGUCUUUGACUUGGGCAAACUUGGGACUAUUUAUGCAUGUACCUUGUAAAUCCUGCAUGCUCAUGUUAACACCAUUCGCUGUAGGUCUGCUGCUCAGUUAUAUUCACAUUAUAGUGUUCUUGUAAAAUGUCUUGCAUUAGCUCUAGGCUUAUAUUUAGAGAGCUUUGCAAGUUGUUGUUAGCUUUUCAUUCAGCUUUAAGUUGACUUGCAAUGUUAAAUGGAAAUUUCACCUCUGCUCUAUUUUACUAUACAUGUCCAUUAAUAUGUUAUUAAUAUAUCAUGUCAUAAAAAUUUAGAAUUUCCUCACCACAUGCAAAUACGAGUGUUUAUGUAUCUCACUGUUUAGAAACGGGCCAGCUACAUGGUUGUAAGCCAACCAUAAUAUCCAGAAUUCAUGGCGAUUUCAGGACGUGGAGGACCGCCCAAUUGAUGUUAGAGAUAUGAAAAUGUUUGUUUUUAGCCAGCACUUUCAGCCAGAGGAAGUCUCAGCUGAUGGGGUUGCCAUGUCAUCAUACUUUCAAAGGGGAUUUUAUUCCAUCGAUUUUCCCCUUCACUUCAAAGAGGAAGGCAUCCCAUCAGCCAACAUCAGCUCUGCAAGACAAGACGGUAAGAUAGUUAACGUUACCUAGCUAACAAGCUAGAGAACUACAUUUGUUAAUCUAAACCAAUCUAGCUAGCUAGCUUCAAUAAUACGCUGGCUAUAUUCCAUAGCAUAUCAAUGUAAUUAGCCAGCUGCUAUCUGGAGACACGAUUUGUAACUUUGCAAACUAAUAUAAGCAUCGUUAGGUUACGUUGGUUAACUGUUAGCCUCUGCUGUAGUUAGUUAGCUAGCUAACGUGACUAGCUGUGUUAUUUUUAGAGUCCGAUCCCAUCAUCUGCAGAGGCAUCAACAUCAAGCUCAGCACCAGGAACUAGUAAAAGACCAGACAGUUUUCUACAAGGAGCCAGAGUUGCAGCCCCCCCAAACUCAACAGCGCCAAAGCCUGCUAAACCAGCUGUCAUUUCCCAACACAAGAAGAGGUUCACCAGCUGAAAAACAUUCAGGAACAUGCCUGGAACGUUCAAUCAACACAACAUCCGUAUUCAUUUAGACUGAUGUUAUAGUAUAAUAUAGAAUGCCUAGUAUGGUCACAACUGCAUUUUGGUGUAUGUAUUGCUAGCUGUAUAUGUGUUUUGUAUAAUAUAUUUUACAACCGACUAAAUGAUUCCAGCUGCAUCAGAAACCAAUAAACUGUUGACUUAAA
Molecule: non-coding RNA, 2607 nt
Organism: Salmo salar (Atlantic salmon)
Lineage: Eukaryota; Metazoa; Chordata; Actinopteri; Salmoniformes; Salmonidae
Source: RefSeq, a predicted model, not a curated record